Molecule: ribosomal RNA, 648 nt
Filed under: uncultured Actinomycetes bacterium
Lineage: Bacteria; Bacillati; Actinomycetota; Actinomycetes
Description: bacterial SSU rRNA
Rfam family: Bacterial small subunit ribosomal RNA
Source: RNAcentral
UUCGCGGCCUAUCAGCUUGUUGGUGAGGUAAAGGCUCACCAAGGCGUCGACGGGUAGCCGGCCUGAGAGGGUGACCGGCCACACUGGGACUGAGACACGGCCCAGACUCCUACGGGAGGCAGCAGUGGGGAAUAUUGCACAAUGGGCGCAAGCCUGAUGCAGCAACGCCGCGUGAGGGAUGACGGCCUUCGGGUUGUAAACCUCUUUUAGCAGGGAAGAAGCGAAAGUGACGGUACCUGCAGAAAAAGCGCCGGCUAACUACGUGCCAGCAGCCGCGGUAAUACGUAGGGCGCAAGCGUUAUCCGGAAUUAUUGGGCGUAAAGAGCUCGUAGGCGGUUUGUCGCGUCUGCUGUGAAAUCCCGAGGCUCAACCUCGGGUCUGCAGUGGGUACGGGCAGACUAGAGUGCGGUAGGGGAGAUUGGAAUUCCUGGUGUAGCGGUGGAAUGCGCAGAUAUCAGGAGGAACACCGAUGGCGAAGGCAGAUCUCUGGGCCGUAACUGACGCUGAGGAGCGAAAGGGUGGGGAGCAAACAGGCUUAGAUACCCUGGUAGUCCACCCCGUAAACGUUGGGAACUAGUUGUGGGGUCCAUUCCACGGAUUCCGUGACGCAGCUAACGCAUUAAGUUCCCCGCCUGGGGAGUACGGAAU